GAUUGGUAAAGGGCAGAGAGCUCCAGUCCGACUCAGGCGCCAGCAAGGUGGAGGUGGAGUACUGGUUUGGGCUGGUAUCAUCAAAGAUGAGCUUGUGGGGCCUUUUCGGGUUGAGGAUGAGUCAAGCUCAACUCCCAGUCCUACUGCCAGUUCCUGGAAGACACCUUCUUCAAGCAGUGGUACAGGAAGAAGUCUGCAUCCUUCAAGAAAAACAUGAUUUUCAUGCAGGACAAUGCUCCAUCACACGCGUCCAAGUACUCCACAGCAUGGCUGGCAAGAAAGGGUAUAAAAGAAAGAAAAUCUAAUGACAUGGCCUCCUUGUUCACCUGAUCUGAACCCCAUUGAGAACCUGUGAUCCAUCAUCAAAUGUGAGAUUUACAAGGUGGGAAAACAGUACACCUCUCUGAACAGUGUCUGGGAGGCUGUGGUUGCUGCUGCACGCAAUGUUGAUGGUGAACAGAUCAAAACACUGACAGAAUCCAUGGAUGGCAGGCUUUUGAGUGUCCUUUCAAAGAAAGGUGGCUAUAUUGGUCACUGAUUUGUUUUUGUUUUGUUUUUGAAUGUCAGAAAUGUAUAUUUGUGAAUGUUGAGAUGUU
RNAcentral lists this long non-coding RNA (596 nucleotides) under Pelobates cultripes (western spadefoot toad). Lineage: Eukaryota; Metazoa; Chordata; Amphibia; Anura; Pelobatidae. The record is from RNAcentral.